This 513-nucleotide ribosomal RNA is filed under the name uncultured bacterium. RNAcentral describes it as "partial 16S ribosomal RNA". It matches the Rfam family "Bacterial small subunit ribosomal RNA", at positions 28 to 523 of the family's 1533-position model. The record is from RNAcentral.
GACGAACGCUGGCGGCGUGCCUAAUACAUGCAAGUCGAGCGGACGAAUCGAAAGCUUGCUUUUGAUUCGUUAGCGGCGGACGGGUGAGUAACACGUGGGCAACUGCCCUGUAGACGGGGAUAACACCGAGAAAUCGGUGCUAAUACCGGAUAACACGAAAUGUCGCAUGACGUUUCGUUGAAAGACGGCGCAAGCUGUCGCUACAGGAUGGGCCCGCGGCGCAUUAGCUAGUUGGUGAGGUAACGGCUCACCAGGGCGACGAUGCGUAGCCGACCUGAGAGGGUGAUCGGCCACACUGGGACUGAGACACGGCCCAGACUCCUACGGGAGGCAGCAGUAGGGAAUCUUCCGCAAUGGACGAAAGUCUGACGGAGCAACGCCGCGUGAGCGAAGAAGGCCUUCGGGUCGUAAAGCUCUGUUGUUAGGGAAGAACAAGUAACGCAGUAACUGGCGUUACCGUGACGGUACCUAACGAGAAAGCCACGGCUAACUACGUGCCAGCCGCCGCCGUAA